AGUGAGAUAGCUGGGUUAAAUGAUGGUUCAAUUCCACGUUAUCCAAGUAAUCUCCAAACUGCUUUCCAUAUUGGCUGCACCAAUUUGCAGUCCCACCAGCAAU
RNAcentral lists this microRNA precursor (103 nucleotides) under Marmota monax (woodchuck). The record is from RNAcentral. Lineage: Eukaryota; Metazoa; Chordata; Mammalia; Rodentia; Sciuridae.